GUCCCCAUCGUCUAGCGGUCAGGACAUCGCCCUUUCAAGGCGACGACACGAGUUCGAGUCUCGUUGGGGGCACCA
This 75-nucleotide transfer RNA is filed under the name Olsenella uli. RNAcentral describes it as "tRNA-Glu". It matches the Rfam family "tRNA". From Rfam's summary of the family: Transfer RNA (tRNA) molecules are approximately 80 nucleotides in length. RNAcentral also lists the same sequence under 18 other names. The record is from RNAcentral. Lineage: Bacteria; Bacillati; Actinomycetota; Coriobacteriia; Coriobacteriales; Atopobiaceae.